RNAcentral lists this ribosomal RNA (1168 nucleotides) under Escherichia coli. RNAcentral describes it as "bacterial SSU rRNA". The stretch from base 157 to 1168 matches the Rfam family "Bacterial small subunit ribosomal RNA". Lineage: Bacteria; Pseudomonadati; Pseudomonadota; Gammaproteobacteria; Enterobacterales; Enterobacteriaceae. The record is from RNAcentral.
CUCGCUGUGAAGAUGCAGUGUACCCGCGGCAAGACGGAAAGACCCCGUGAACCUUUACUAUAGCUUGACACUGAACAUUGAGCCUUGAUGUGUAGGAUAGGUGGGAGGCUUGGAAGUGUGGACGCCAGUCUGCAUGGAGCCGACCUUGAAAUACCACCCCUUUAAUGUUUGAUGUUCUAACGUUGACCCGUAAUCCGGGUUGCGGACAGUGUCUGGUGGGUAGUUUGACUGUUAAGUCAGAUGUGAAAUCCCCGGGCUCAACCUGGGAACUGCAUCUGAUACUGGCAAGCUUGAGUCUCGUAGAGGGGGGUAGAAUUCCAGGUGUAGCGGUGAAAUGCGUAGAGAUCUGGAGGAAUACCGGUGGCGAAGGCGGCCCCCUGGACGAAGACUGACGCUCAGGUGCGAAAGCGUGGGGAGCAAACAGGAUUAGAUACCCUGGUAGUCCACGCCGUAAACGAUGUCGACUUGGAGGUUGUGCCCUUGAGGCGUGGCUUCCGGAGCUAACGCGUUAAGUCGACCGCCUGGGGAGUACGGCCGCAAGGUUAAAACUCAAAUGAAUUGACGGGGGCCCGCACAAGCGGUGGAGCAUGUGGUUUAAUUCGAUGCAACGCGAAGAACCUUACCUGGUCUUGACAUCCACGGAAGUUUUCAGAGAUGAGAAUGUGCCUUCGGGAACCGUGAGACAGGUGCUGCAUGGCUGUCGUCAGCUCGUGUUGUGAAAUGUUGGGUUAAGUCCCGCAACGAGCGCAACCCUUAUCCUUUGUUGCCAGCGGUCCGGCCGGGAACUCAAAGGAGACUGCCAGUGAUAAACUGGAGGAAGGUGGGGAUGACGUCAAGUCAUCAUGGCCCUUACGACCAGGGCUACACACGUGCUACAAUGGCGCAUACAAAGAGAAGCGACCUCGCGAGAGCAAGCGGACCUCAUAAAGUGCGUCGUAGUCCGGAUUGGAGUCUGCAACUCGACUCCAUGAAGUCGGAAUCGCUAGUAAUCGUGGAUCAGAAUGCCACGGUGAAUACGUUCCCGGGCCUUGUACACACCGCCCGUCACACCAUGGGAGUGGGUUGCAAAAGAAGUAGGUAGCUUAACCUUCGGGAGGGCGCUUACCACUUUGUGAUUCAUGACUGGGGUGAAGUCGUAACAAGGUAACCGUAGGGGAACCUGCGGUUG